GGCGCUUUGGCAGAGUGGCCUAAUGCGGUGCCCUGCUAUCAUGUAGUAUAGGCAUUCUCUUCGGAGGCGCAGGUUCGAAUCCUGCAGGCGUCG
This is a transfer RNA of Pseudomassariella vexata, 93 nucleotides long. It matches the Rfam family "tRNA". From Rfam's summary of the family: Transfer RNA (tRNA) molecules are approximately 80 nucleotides in length. Their secondary structure includes four short double-helical elements and three loops (D, anti-codon, and T loops). Further hydrogen bonds mediate the characteristic L-shaped molecular structure. tRNAs have two regions of fundamental functional importance: the anti-codon, which is responsible for specific mRNA codon recognition, and the 3' end, to which the tRNAs corresponding amino acid is attached (by aminoacyl-tRNA synthetases). tRNAs cope with the degeneracy of the genetic code in two manners: having more than one tRNA (with a specific anti-codon) for a particular amino acid; and 'wobble' base-pairing, i.e. permitting non-standard base-pairing at the 3rd anti-codon position. Lineage: Eukaryota; Fungi; Ascomycota; Sordariomycetes; Amphisphaeriales; Pseudomassariaceae. The record is from Rfam.